This 87-nucleotide transfer RNA is filed under the name Patescibacteria group bacterium. Its description in RNAcentral is "tRNA-Leu". It matches the Rfam family "tRNA". Rfam says of the family: Transfer RNA (tRNA) molecules are approximately 80 nucleotides in length. Their secondary structure includes four short double-helical elements and three loops (D, anti-codon, and T loops). The record is from RNAcentral.
GCCCAGGUGGCGGAACUGGUAGACGCGCACGCUUGAGGGGCGUGUGGGAGCAAUCCCGUGGAAGUUCAAGUCUUCUCCUGGGCACCA